This is a long non-coding RNA of Cariama cristata (Red-legged seriema), 825 nucleotides long. RefSeq lists it as uncharacterized. The transcript has 3 exons. The record is from RefSeq and is a predicted model, not a curated record. Lineage: Eukaryota; Metazoa; Chordata; Aves; Cariamiformes; Cariamidae.
GAGGAUGUGCUGAGUAAAGACGCUGGGGAGUGUGCAAUAUGCCUGGAAGAGCUGCAGCAAGGAGAUACGAUAGCACGGCUGCCUUGCCUCUGCAUAUAUCAUAAAGGCUGCAUAGAUGAAUGGUUUGAAGUAAAUAGAUCUUGCCCUGAGCAUCCAUCAGAUUAAGACAAGAAUCAUGUUUUUAGCUGCUUCCACUGGUCAGAAAACAUAGGAGAUGUGAGGUUCCCUGGCCCAACACAGCGUGCCUGGCUUGAGACUUACGGUUCGUGGUGGCUGAAGAAGGCAAAGAUGGACAUUGACAUGGAGAAAGCAUUGCAGACACCGGUUACUUGCUGGUUGUGCUCGGUAUACCAAACACUCAUGCAAAGGACACACAGGGAUUUUGAAAAUGCUGCACAUUCUGGUAACAAUCGACUCCCCCCAGACAUUACUGACACUCUUUUGUAUCAAAGGCCAAAGUUCCUAAUUUUAGCCUCACUUCUGGUUCUGUGAAGAAGCGGGUUAUUGGACAUGUUUCCUACUGCCUCAAGUGGAAGCAGAGACGUUCAAUACGUGCUAUCGGAGACCCUUGUAGGAGGAUGGCCUCGGUUUUGAGUGGGAACGUUUUCACCUUCUUGUUGGCUGAAGAAGAGUCAAUGGCAAACUAAAUAUAACAUAACAGUGUGACCUUAAUUUACUGAAUUCACACCCUGUUUUACGUUCUUCACUUUUUUUCAAGAACAGAAAACAUAAACCUCUCCGCAUAGGAAUACUGUAUUUCAACAUUUUGUAACUAAACCUUUGUCACAAUGCAGUCCAAAGAGUAAAACCAAGACAGGUAACUAA